This 254-nucleotide ribosomal RNA is filed under the name uncultured prokaryote. RNAcentral describes it as "partial 16S ribosomal RNA". It matches the Rfam family "Bacterial small subunit ribosomal RNA", at positions 524 to 776 of the family's 1533-position model. The record is from RNAcentral.
UACGGGGGGGGGCAAGCGUUGUUCGGAAUUACUGGGCGUAAAGGGCUCGUAGGCGGCCAACUAAGUCAGACGUGAAAUCCCUCGGCUUAACCGGGGAACUGCGUCUGAUACUGGAUGGCUUGAGGUUGGGAGAGGGAUGCGGAAUUCCAGGUGUAGCGGUGAAAUGCGUAGAUAUCAGGAAGAACACCCGUGGCGAAAGCGGCUCUCUGGAACGGUACUGACGCUGAGACGCGAAAGCGUGGGGAGCGAACAGG